This 71-nucleotide transfer RNA is filed under the name Chrysotoxum bicinctum. Its description in RNAcentral is "tRNA-Met". It matches the Rfam family "tRNA". Rfam says of the family: Transfer RNA (tRNA) molecules are approximately 80 nucleotides in length. Their secondary structure includes four short double-helical elements and three loops (D, anti-codon, and T loops). Lineage: Eukaryota; Metazoa; Arthropoda; Insecta; Diptera; Syrphidae. The record is from RNAcentral.
AAAAAGAUAAGCUAAUUUUAAGCUAUUGGGUUCAUACUCCACUUAUAAAGGUUUUAGUCCUUUUCUUUUUA